CAGAGGGGGCGAGCGUUGUUCGGAAUUACUGGGCGUAAAGGGCGCGUAGGCGGCCUGCUAAGUCAUACGUGAAAUCCCUCGGCUCAACCGGGGAACUGCGUGUGAUACUGGCGGGCUUGAAUUCGGGAGAGGGAUGCGGAAUUCCAGGUGUAGCGGUGAAAUGCGUAGAUAUCUGGAGGAACACCGGUGGCGAAGGCGGCAUCCUGGACCGAUAUUGACGCUGAUGCGCGAAAGCCAGGGGAGCAAACGGGAUUAGAUACCCCGGUAGUCCUGGCCCUAAACGAUGAGUGCUUGGUGUGGCGGGUAUCGAUCCCUGCCGUGCCGAAGCUAACGCAUUAAGCACUCCGCCUGGGGAGUACGGUCGCAAGGCUG
RNAcentral lists this ribosomal RNA (372 nucleotides) under uncultured organism. RNAcentral describes it as "bacterial SSU rRNA". It matches the Rfam family "Bacterial small subunit ribosomal RNA", at positions 526 to 896 of the family's 1533-position model. The record is from RNAcentral.